This is a long non-coding RNA of Salvia miltiorrhiza (redroot sage), 807 nucleotides long. RefSeq lists it as uncharacterized. Lineage: Eukaryota; Viridiplantae; Streptophyta; Magnoliopsida; Lamiales; Lamiaceae. The record is from RefSeq and is a predicted model, not a curated record. The transcript has 2 exons.
UCCAUUAGCGACCCCCAGAUUUUCUCCGGUGUAAGAAUCAAAUGUUGCUUCGUUCAAUUCUUUCAAGUUUGCUAAAAAAUGAAGGCUUCCCUAGUAUCUGGGUUUGUAGAAAUGGAGUAACCACUCUCGCAAGCACAGAAAACUCAUUUUCUCCAUCCAUUUCGGGAGGGGAAACGCUACAAAAAGGGAUCGUGUCGAGUUGAAGAGAGUUGCUGAUGAGGUGAAGUAGUUAGGGUUUGAUCCGUUGAAGUCGAACUUCAUAUUGGCAAUAUAUGCGCGAAAGGGGGAAGGAAGUGUAUGGGACAAAUGCAAUGGAGUUUAUAGUAAAUGGGGCUGGUCGGAGGAUGAUAUUCGAAUGGCAUUUAAGAAGCAUCCCUCUUGUAUGCUUUUAUCCGAGAAGAAGAUAUCAGCAACCAUGGAUUUUCUAGUUAACAAGUUAGGUCGGGAGUCAAGAGUGAUUGCAAAGUCUCCGCGAGUUCUUUUCUAUAGCCUGAAGGAGAUGAUAGUUCCUAGGUGCUCCGUUGUUCGUCUCUUGGUGUUGGAGGGUUUGGUUGAGGAAGAUUGGAACUUGAGCAGUGUGAUUUCUCCUGUUGAGAGCAAGUUCUUGGACAAAUAUGUGUCGAGAUACACUGAGAUAAUGCCCCAACUUUAUGAUGUUUAUCUGUCGUGUAAAGCGAGUGGCGUGCUUGCUUAACGCCUUCUUCAACUUGUGCAAUGUUGGUUAUAUUCUGUAGCUCAAUGUUUUGAUUGUUCAGUGCUUAGAAAUUUCUAUUAACACUAUAAUGUGAGAGUUAAUUAAGAGUUCAA